GGUACCCGUAGAGUUUGACCCUGGCCCGUAGAGUUGGAACUUGGUCCUUUGACGUUAGCGGCGGACGGGUGAGUAACACGUGGGCAACCUACCCUAUAGUUUGGGAUAACUCCGGGAAACCGGGGCUAAUACCGAAUAAUCUCUUUUGCUUCAUGGUGAAAGACUGAAAGACGGUUUCGGCUGUCGCUAUAGGAUGGGCCCGCGGCGCAUUAGCUAGUUGGUGAGGUAACGGCUCACCAAGGCGACGAUGCGUAGCCGACCUGAGAGGGUGAUCGGCCACACUGGGACUGAGACACGGCCCAGACUCCUACGGGAGGCAGCAGUAGGGAAUCUUCCACAAUGGGCGAAAGCCUGAUGGAGCAACGCCGCGUGAGUGAAGAAGGUUUUCGGAUCGUAAAACUCUGUUGUAAGGGAAGAACAAGUACAGUAGUAACUGGCUGUACCUUGACGGUACCUUAUUAGAAAGCCACGGCUAACUACGUGCCAGCAGCCGCGGUAAUACGUAGGUGGCAAGCGUUGUCCGGAAUUAUUGGGCGUAAAGCGCGCGCAGGCGGUCCUUUAAGUCUGAUGUGAAAGCCCACGGCUCAACCGUGGAGGGUCAUUGGAAACUGGGGGACUUGAGUGCAGAAGAGGAAAGUGGAAUUCCAAGUGUAGCGGUGAAAUGCGUAGAGAUUUGGAGGAACACCAGUGGCGAAGCGACUUUCUGGUCUGUAACUGACGCUGAGGCGCGAAAGCGUG
Molecule: ribosomal RNA, 738 nt
Filed under: Bacillus sp. HPC 886
Lineage: Bacteria; Bacillati; Bacillota; Bacilli; Caryophanales; Bacillaceae
Description: bacterial SSU rRNA
Rfam family: Bacterial small subunit ribosomal RNA
Source: RNAcentral